This 909-nucleotide ribosomal RNA is filed under the name Raffaelea albimanens. RNAcentral describes it as "LSU rRNA". It matches the Rfam family "Eukaryotic large subunit ribosomal RNA", at positions 38 to 964 of the family's 3401-position model. The record is from RNAcentral. Lineage: Eukaryota; Fungi; Ascomycota; Sordariomycetes; Ophiostomatales; Ophiostomataceae.
GCAUAUCAAUAAGCGGAGGAAAAGAAACCAACAGGGAUUGCCCCAGUAACGGCGAGUGAAGCGGCAACAGCUCAAAUUUGAAAUCUGGCCCUCCCCUGGGGGGCCCGAGUUGUACUUUGGAGAGGAUGCUUUGGGCGCGGCGCCUUCCGAGUUCCUUGGAACAGGACGCCAGAGAGGGUGAGAGCCCCGUACGGUCGGACGCCUAGCCCGUGUAAAGCUCCUUCGACGAGUCGAGUAGUUUGGGAAUGCUGCUCAAAAUGGGAGGUAAAUUUCUUCUAAAGCUAAAUACCGGCCAGAGACCGAUAGCGCACAAGUAGAGUGAUCGAAAGAUGAAAAGCACUUUGAAAAGAGGGUUAAACAGCACGUGAAAUUGUUGAAAGGGAAGCGCCUGUGGCCAGACGUGCGCCCCGCGGACCACCCGCCGGUUUCCGGCGGGGCACGCCGCGGGUGCGCAGGCCAGCAUCGGCUUCCCCAGGGGGACAAAGGCCGCGGGAACGUAGCUCCUUCGGGAGUGUUAUAGCCCGCGGCGUCAUGCCCCUGGGGGGGCCGAGGACCGCGCCCUCGUGGCAAGGAUGCUGGCGUAAUGGCCACCAGCGACCCGUCUUGAAACACGGACCAAGGAGUCAAGCAUUGGGGCGAGUGUUUGGGUGACAAACCCGCACGCGAAAUGAAAGUGAACGCAGGUGGGAGCCCUCGGGCGCACCACCGACCGAUCCAGAUGUUCUCGGAUGGAUUUGAGUAGGAGCCUUACCGCUUGGACCCGAAAGAUGGUGAACUAUGCCUGUAUAGGGUGAAGCCAGAGGAAACUCUGGUGGAGGCUCGCAGCGGUUCUGACGUGCAAAUCGAUCGUCAAAUAUGGGCAUGGGGGCGAAAGACUAAUCGAACCAUCUAGUAGCUGGUUACCGCCGA